AAAUCCCACUUCUACUAGUAGAAAUGGGAACAAAAGGGAAGAUGUCUUCAAAGGCCACCCUUCUAAUCUCUUUUGCAGUAGUUAUUGUUUCUUUAUGUUUGCCCUCAUUGACCACCGCAGCCUACCCUUACUCAUCUCCACCACCUCCUCAACCAAAGAAAUCACCACCACCACCACCUAAGCAUCAUUAUAUUUACAAAUCACCACCACCACCACCACCACCGGUCUAUAAGUCACCACCACCACCGGUGUAUAAAUCAUCACCACCACCACCUGUUUACAAGUCACCGCCACCUCCUACUCCGGUUUAUAAGUCCCCACCACCUCCAAAGAAACCAUAUGUAUACAAAUCACCACCACCACCACCUCCGGUUCACAAGUCUCCACCACCACCGGUUUACAAGUCACCACCACCUCCUGCUUACAAGUCACCACCGCCACCGGUACAUAAAUCACCGCCGCCACCUGUUUACAAGUCACCACCACCACCUGUUUACAAGUCACCACCUCCACCUCAUUACGUCUACAAGUCACCACCACCACCGGUCUACAAGUCACCACCACCACCCGUGCAUAAGUCACCGCCACCACCAGUCUACAAAUCCCCACCGCCACCGGUUCACAAAUCACCGCCGCCACCGGUCUACAAGUCACCACCACCACCAGUUCAUAAGUCACCACCUCCACCCGUUUACAAGUCACCACCACGUCCACUUCACAAGUCUCCACCACCACCGAAGAAACACUACAUCUAUAAAUCACCACCGCCACCUCCUCCGAUUUAUAAGUCUCCACCCCCACCACCACCAAAAAAACCAUACGUAUACAAAUCUCCACCACCACCAACCCAUGUCCACAAAUCUCCACCACCACCAACCCCUGUGUAUAAAUCCCCACCACCUCCUCCAACUCCGGUGAAAAAGCACCCACCCCCACAUUAUAUCUACAGUUCACCACCUCCUCCUCACCAUUAAGAAGUGACCACUGUUUUUAAUUAAGGAUAGUAACAAGUUAAUAUUCUGUGAAGACAAACAAUAAUCGAGCAGGACAAGAAGGGUUGAAAGUUGUACGGAAAUGACUUGUACUUUGAUUCAUGUUUUCAAUAAAUAGUUGCGUUUUUUUCUUUUGUGUUUGGGUUUGAUAAUAAAGGUAUCAAUAAAAAAAAUUGUUGUUUUACAUCCUUUAUUAUCGNNNNNNNNNNNNNNNNNNNNNNNNNNNNNNNNNNNNNNNNNNNNNNNNAGGCAAGUACUAACACUCCAUUUUUCUACAAACACCUAAUAUCAAUAUCGAUGGGCUACAUGUUUUAAUAUAAAUUUGUUAAUCAUUGUAAACUUAAAAAAUUUCAUUUAACAAAAAAUGUUAUAAAAUAUUCAAAACUUUGAUUAGCCAUAUUUGUAUAUUUGCAUUCAACUAAUUAUAUGUUAGCUUGUUAAGCAUGCACAUUUAUAUUAUUAAUUAAAUGACUUAGAAUCCCUUUACGUUCCAGUUUUUAUUUCAUCUUUAACCUUUUAAAAAUAAGUCUGUCGAUAAUCCGGAAAACAAUACAUUUUUUCAGCACCAAAUUGUAAUAAUCUUUAUAACCGGUCGCUAACUCGUCUAUAGAAAAUUUACUAAUAUUUUUGGGGAUCAAAAGGUUUCACUGAAAUUACAGUCUAAAGCUGAUAUUUGAAAAUUAACGGCGGAUUAUUAAAAAAAUUAUUAAAAUAACAACAUAAGUGAACAAACUUUAAAAGAUUUCUGAUUGUUUCGAUUGGAUAUUCAUAUAAGUGCUUGAUUGCUUCAUUAAUACAUUUAAUAUUUAUGUUUAAUUAUGUUAUGUGUUUCACAACUCAUCAUAGUUUUGUUAGAUCCUUGUACAUUCACACACAAAUACUCUAUAGUUUUGUAUCGAAUGGUGGAGUUUUGAUUGUAUACACAUGUAAUAUGUUUAGAAUAUGUAUAAAUUGGUAAAAUAAAGUAAGAACUUAAAUUUUUAAUUUAUACGAAAAGAUGAAACAAAACAAAUAAUGUUUAAAUAUAAAAAACAUUAAAGAUACGAAAGUUUAUGGCUAUUUUUGAUGAAUUUGAAGGAUUAGCGAUGGAUGCAUCAAAACUAUAAAUUUCGUCGCUAAAUUCAUCAAAAUCAGCGACAGCUUAGCCACCGCCCUUAAUGAUUUUUCUAGAUUUUUUUUUUGGAAAGCAAAAUAUGAUAAAACGAACAAAACCUCUGAAUUAUCAAGAAGUUCAAACGCAGGCAAACAACAAAACAAGAUAAGUGUAAGAAGGGCGAAAUACUCCAAUCUACCCAUCUUCCAACACAUAGUCUACUUCUAAAAUUACACCAUACAUAUGAGAGAGAAAUAACCUUAUCAACGAUUAUGGUGGGGAAGAACUAAUAUUUUUAAACACCUUGUUGUUUCUCGUGGCCCAAAUACUCUAUAGUAAGCAGUAGAAGAUCACAGUAAUUAUCUUCAUUUUCCUAGGACAAUUGCCCCGGUUUGUAGCAUAAUCAACAAAUUUAGACACGUCACAGAACUGUCGAGACGGAAUACAGCACCACUUAAGAACCCAAUCUCUAGCAAUAACGACAGUAUGACAAUUGAUAAGCACAUGAUUCACCGUUUUAGUUUCGCCCAAACAUAGAUGACAAGAAAGAGAUUUAACCAUUAUACCCCUAUUAAGUAACGUAUCAACAACUAGAAUUCUACCCAACAUAACCUUCAAAAUGAAGCAUCAAACAUUCUGAAUGGGGUAAUUUUUUACCAGCAUCUUGAGUGUCCAACUGAAUGGUGAAGCUUGGAGUCAAUACAUUUUCUCAUAAUCCCAACAGUGAAUUGACCAUCAGCAGCAGCAAGAUUGAAAUUAAAACCAAUAAGGAAAUAUUGAAGGCAACAUCACUAAGAAGGGAGUAGAGACAGUCCAAUUCCAUUAUUGCCUCGAUUUAAUUGGGAGCUUUUUUCCAGUUCCAGAAAUAGAGUCGUUCCCUUGGUACUUAUGAGAGAAUAAGCAACAUUUUAUAGUUUCAAGUUCGUAUAAGCGUGUGAAUUUGUAUUGUAAUGUAUAAGGUCCAAUCCACAUGUCUUUCCAAAACAUAAAAUCCACAUCAGAGCCUGAGGUGAGAGAGAAUAAAUCAAAUAAAUCAAUGCCCAACAAAGGAAGGUUGUUUAUGGCCUUUGAUAUUGUAAGAUCCCGACUCCCAAGUAUAAAUUUUAAAAGCUUUGUAUUCAUUUUAUUGAGGGAACACGACGAGUUGGAGGCCCCAACUCGUCGUGUCGAACCUAGUCAGCCCGCGUGGUUUAUGCCUUCUACUCGACAAGUUGGAGGACACCAACUCGACGAGUAGAGGUUGUGCAUGAUAACCCUAAUUUUUUGGGUUUGCACCCUAUUUAAAGGGCCUUAAGUCCUUUCCUCUAGCCUCCUUACAACCUUUUGACGACCAUAAGCAACCCUAAUCGAUCUUAACCCUAUCCUUAAGUGUGUGAGAGGCUAAAAUUGUGUUUCCGGUGCAUUUGUUGAAGAAGCUUGAAGAUUAAGAAGCUUGGAACGAGGGAAAGCUUGUAGAUCUAGUAUCUACAUCGUGUUGGCAUCCAGUAGAAGGUAAAAAGUCUUUACCCUGGCCUUCCAUUUCUUAGAUCUCUUCUUAUGUUGAAUAUGGGCAUUUUGGUGCAAAAUGGAGUCACUUUUGGAUUUGAGCUUGUACCAAGGGCAUGGUUUCAGAUCUGGACUCCUCUAGGCCCUUAUGGACAUAAAGCCUCAAGCUUUAUGAAGCUUUGGCCCUCCUUCAUGUCCAAAACCUUCUUCUAAGGCUAGUUAUGAGUGUUUUACCCUCAUGGAGCCUUGAAUACACGUAAAGUUAGCAACUUUAUGUGAUAGCAACACCCUAGGAGCCUAGAUCUACAGUUUGGUGUUUUGAUAUCACUUAAAAGCAUCUGAAUGAGAAAUAGACUGAAGGAACUCGACGAGUUGCAUAGUCAACUCGACAAGUUGAAAGAAGGUUUCCUGCCUUCUGGAUUCUGCAUGAACUCGGCGAGUUGGAGGGGCAACUCUACGAGUUGGUUAGGGUUUUCCCGACAUUUUUGGACAAUACAUGGACUCGACGAGUUGUCUGGAAACUCGGCGGGUCAAUUGGGGUUUUCGCGAUUUCUUGAGUUCUGAAGGAACUUGACGAGUCAGUGAGCUACACUCGACGAGUUGGGUCAACAUGGACUGUUGACCUUGACCGUUGACUUUGACUUUGACCAAGGGUUGACCGGUUUGACUUUUUGGGGUAUUUUAGUAAUUUGGAAAAUUUAUGGAAGUGGAUCAUUUGUGGAUGUAGGUGUUUGAGUUUGGAAAUGUAUUUAGGAAGUUUGACAUUAUCAUUAUGAGCUACUUGUGAGGUGAGUUGUCCUCACUAUACUAAUAGGGUCGAAGGCACCAAUACCGACCCUUCUUUUGGAUUGUUAUCCUGGUUAUUGCAUGAUGAUAUGCUUAGUGACCUGUUAGGUUGGUACCCUGGUAUAUAGGAUGAUGCUAUGUUAUUAACCGAUUAGGUCGGUAUCCUGGUAUAUAGGAUAAUGUUAUGUUAGUGAUCUGUUAGAUCUAUAUAACUAUCUAUCUGUACAUGCUAGCUAGUGUAUGAUAUUUAUGUGCACAUGAUUGUUUGAUUAGGGGUUGGGAUGAGGCGUUCAUGCUUUGUGCUUGCGCCAACAUACCCAGGGCGGACCGGAUAGACUGUAGACCUGGUUAAGGCAUAGUAGUUAGGCCGAGGGCCUGACGACGGUCCGGAUAGGCUAAUGGCCCUAAGAGGCGGUUCAAACGUGCCGAUGGCUCGGAGAGUGGUCCAGAUAAACUAAUGGCCCUGCGAGGCGGUCCAGUCAGGCUAAUGGCUCAUUAUACAUGCUGUUUUUUAUGAUAUGGUUAUAUUUGUAUGACGUUGGUAUUUUGGGGGAAACUACUAAGCUUCGGGCUUACAGUUGUUGAUUAUGUGUCAAGUACUUCUGAUGAUCACGGGAAGGCAAAGUCGUGAUCGUGCACCUCCUUAUAUUUUUAUGAUAUGAUUCUGGGAUACUCUGACAUGAAACCAUUUUGAAAACAAAUUUGUAAUAAUUAUUGGUUUUUGAAUGAUUUAAAAAGUUUUAAAUUGGCAUAUUUUUUAGGGUGUUACAGAUAUCUCACACCAUACGCUACACCAGGGCUGUUUUUUUAGAUGUGUAUGACACUGGUUUCCUACUUAGGUUGUGAAUUCAGUAAAUUACAUUCCCCCAUAGGUUGUUUGGCUCCAUUUUCAAUCUCCGUCACCACUUAGUGAGUAAAGCAAGGUUUUGUGCUUUUAAUGACCCAACACCUAAACCGCUGCUUUCUUUGGAAGCCACUACUUUGCGCCACACAACCCAAUGAAUCUUAGAUUUAUUUUCUUCACCUCCCCAUAAGAAUUUCUCUUAAUCUUCUUGAGGGUAUCGAUACUCUCGAUUAGGUCUUUAAAAAGCAAGAAAUAAUAUCUCGGUAAGUUGUAGAGAGCCGACUUGAUUAAUGUAAGUCGACCACCAAAUGAUAGAGUUUUGGCUUUCCAAAUGGACAAUUUAUUGUUGAAUCUAUCAAUUACAGACUUCCAAUAUUUUUUCCACAUCAUCUUUGCUCCCAUGGGUACACCUAAAUAAAUGAAAGGAAGGGAUCCAUUUAAAUAUACCAUCAAUCUUGCUCUCCUGUUAAGUUCUAAAUCGAGGUUUCCGAUACCAAAAGGUCUAGACUUAUGGAAAUUGACUUUUAAACCAGGUGAUACUUCAAAACAUUUCAGAAUACGGGAUAGAAUGCACAUGCUACAACUUUACCAUUCUCCCACGAAAAUUGCAUCGUCAACAUAAAAGAGGUGAGAAAUGGUAGGUCCCGAGUUUGGAAGAUUGAUAUCAUGGUAAUGGGAUUUAUUACAUGUACUUUUUAGUGCCACAUUCUGUAGCACCUGGUUCUUAGUAUGUAUUCUGUUAUUAAAUCUUCAUUUAUUUUUGCAUUUUUAGCCUUGGACUCGGUGAGUCGAAGGACUGACUCGCCUAGUAGAAGCGGGAUGAGGCGUGGGGUUUAAGUUGCGGACUUGGCGAGUAGCCGUUGUUUGGACAAAAACCCUAAGGGGUUUACACCCUAUUUAAACGACCUUAUGCAGCCUCCUCUCCCCCUUUAUGCUCCCAAACACUCCUCAUAGCAAACCCUAGCCGUUUUUGUGAAGAUCUAAGGCUUUUUGAAUGAUUCUUGUGAAUUUUGAUCUCAAGGAAGAAGGAAGAGCAUAGAAGGAUCAAGAGGGGACUGAAGGAUUCGAGUUUGGUUUAUCAUUUGCAGUCUUUGGAAGGUAUAAAGUCUUAACCUUGCUCAUUCAUUUAUUAGAUCCCUCUUUGGGGUGAAUUAGGGCUUUUAUAAGCCAUUUUUGGUGGCCAACCAUGUUUGCAAACAUGGUUGGGGGUUUAGGCUUCUGUAUAAUGUCAUUUUAUGAGCUACAAGUUAGAUCUAGGUUGCUUUUUGCACCAAGGAAGACCACAUGCAACAAAAGAGCUAUUUUAGAGCCUUUUAAGCUCUAAUGUCCCAUGCAUGCACGUAAAGUUUGUAACUGUACGUGCUAGAUCGAGUUUAGGGGCCUGGAUCUAUCAUUUGGUUAAGUGUUGUACAUCAGAAAUCGAAGUUCUUAAUAAGGAAUGUGGUAGACUCGGCGAGUCCAAGGGUUUUGGUCCCAUAUCAGUGAGUGUCAUAAGGACCAGUUGAGUUUGGAAGGGUUUUAGGAGUCCCGGGGAGUGACCUAACGUUCUGGACUAAGCAAAGUGUUCUGGGAAUUCAUGGUACUCGGCGAGUGCAUGAACAGACUAGGCAAGUCCAAGACAAUCUUCAUGGAACUCGACGAGUUGUUCAUCAACUCGGCGAGUCGACGACAGAAGGUGUUCAUAGGAUGAAGAGUAACUCGACGAGUUGUUCAUACAACUCGGCGAGUCGGAUGUGGAUUCAGUCGGUGUUCAUUUAGAAGGAAAACUCGUCGAGUCAUCGCCUAACUCGACGAGUAGAGACGGGUAUGAGGUCUGAUGGAAGGAUAGGGACUCGGCGAGUUGGUGAGUCAACUCGGCGAGUCAGGUCAACUGGAAGUUGACUUUGACUUUGACUUGGUCGAGGGGUAACAUGGUCAUUUUACCCUAAGGGUAGAUGUCAGUUUCUGACUAAGUGUUUUGUGGGAAUUAUAGCUGGAGGAUUUCCGGAGUAGCAGCGGCAGCAAUUAGAGGAUUCCCGCACAGUUCAGCAGCUACGAGGUGAGUUACUUUCCAGUAGGGGUGGGUCUAAAGCCACAAUGCCAGCCCACCAUUGAGUAUUUAGAAGAUAAUUGUCUUUGUGAUAAUUUAUCUUGGUCUGGUAUGCGUUGGUUAUGAGUUAUAUCUGCAUGAUAUGUUGCAUGAUAGGGAUAGUUUCCCUGAUAGUGGUCCUUAGGACCAAGGGGUAGGUCAGUACCCGGAUAUGUCUGAAUGUGUGCUUAUAUCUUGCUAUUAUAUGCUAGUGGUAGGGGUGGAAUAGUCCCCAGUUACCGGUUGAAAGAUACCGAUGAUGAUUACCGGUUGAAAUAUACCGAUGACGAUUAUCGGUUGAAAGAUACCGAUGGUAUUGUAUGGUAUGUGGUAUGAUGGGGGAACUCACUAAGCUUUGUGCUUAUGGUUUCAGUUUUUGGUUUCAGGUACCUCUUCAUCCAAGGGGAAGGAGUUGGUGGCGUAGCAUGGCAUCACACACACUCACAUAUGAUUUCCGCCCGGUGUUUUCUGGGAUUGUACUCUGAUAUGACAUUUGUUCAUGGUUGUGGGAUUCAAAUAUGAUACUUGGUUUUGAGAUGAUGUGUUUAUACAAUAUUUUCUAAUGAAUGUUUUAUGAAUUAACUAAUCAAAAAUGAAAUUUUUGGACUUGAAUUUUAGGACGUUACACAUUCAACCCUUCCAUGACUAUAAUAUAUAGGAAUAGAGAUAAAGGGUCGCCUUGACGAACACCUCUAGUAAUAUCUUUCGUUGGCGAACCAUUAACAAGGACGAGGCUUGAAAGAAUAAGAGACAUUGAACAUCCAAGAUCUCCACUUUGCACUAAAACCCAUUUGCUCCAUGGUUGAAUCAACAAAUUUCUAGUUUACCUAGUCAAAUGCUUUUUUCGAAGUCGAAUUUAAAUAAAAAUAUCUUCUUUUAAAUCUUCCUAGCCUAAGAACAAACUUCAUUUAUGAUUAGAAGACCAUCAAGAAUAUUUCUUCCUUUAAUGUAGGCCGAUUGAACCUGAUCAUCAAUUACCGAUCCAAUAAACCCUUUUAGUCUGAUAGCUAAAACCUUUUCCAUAAUUUUAUAAAUACUUCAAAUCUUGCUAAUUUGUCUAUAAUAUCCUAGCAAGAGGGUGUCUUUACAUUUUGGUAUAAGAUUGAUGAAAGAAGAAUUGCAUCCACACACUAUACACUCGAAUUCCUCAAAAUGCUUCAUGAAAUGGAAAACAUCAUACUUCAUAACAUCCCACAUGUUUUUGAAAAACUUGAAGGUGAAGUUGCCCAGACUUGGUGCCUUAUCACCUCCACAUCUCCAAACAACAUCUUUAAUUUCAUCAAUAGAGAAACAAGUAUCCGUAUAAGCCAUUUAAACCAAGGAGAUUUAUUUAAAUAGGGGACUAACAAGUUUCCAUCUAUUUGGCCAUUUUCCAUGGAACUUGGCACUGAAUAAGUCAAAAACUUCCUUCAUGAUUCUUUUGGGAUCAGUAGACCAUACCCCAUUUAUGAUGAUCACGUGAAUUCUAUUUUUACAAAUUUUAUUCUUCAACAUCCCAUGGAAAAACUGGUUCUUCUCAUCACCAUCUAUCACCCAUUUUAUCCAAGCCUUUUAAUGAGGAUCAAAUUUUUAAUUCUCCAAUUCAAGAAUUUUCAUUUUCCUUUUUUUAGUAACUUAAUAUGAGGAGAGUGUUUUAUGUUUUGUCGAUCUAUCUAGUGUAUCCACUUUUUUUUUCAAAUUCAUCAAAACACCUAUUUCACUAUUUUUUAUUUUAAUUCUCCAUUUUAUCAAAGUAUUCUUGAGAAAUCUGAGUUUUGCUGAGAGAAUCAUGUCUAAGGACCAUAUCAUGUAAAAGAGUUCCAAGCAUUUAGAAAUAAAAAAUCAAAAUCUUUCCUUAACAACCAUGAGUUAAAGAAACGAUCGAAAUGGAUAAGGUCCAAAGUUGGCAUAAGAUACUUUUAGAACAACCAAAGAGCGACCAAUGAAUUCAUGUGGCAUAGUAGUCAUGAAAGAAAUGGGUUGAAAUUUGAUGAAAUUUAAGCAAACCAAGAACCGAUCUACCUUUCUUAGCUUUAGACCAUCUACAGACAUAUAAGUAAAUUUUCUUCCCCAAAUGUUGGGAUCUUUUAGGCACGCAUUUGAGAUAAUAAAUUCAUUAAAUCUCAAUUCAUAUAGUAACAUAAAGCAGAAUUGAUUCUCUCCUCAAUGAAUCUUACAACAUUGAAGUCUCCAAAAAAAUAUCCAAUUUCCGUUGAUACUGGACUUUAAGUCAAUGAGUUCCUUCCAUAAUAUUAUUUUAUCAUUUAUAAACUAAGGACCAUAAUCAUAUACAAGGGUGGUGAUUCUUAUGGCUCCCUUCCAGAGAUCGGAUACAACUAAGAAAUAUCGAGAGCAUGUAUAGUGAAGCUUCAAGAACAAAUUAGAAGACAAAAUGAAAAUAAGACCACCUGAACUGCCAGUAGGGCUGAUAGUGUUGGAAAUCAGCUCCUUUCCCACCCCAUAAGGACCCCAAAACUUAUACCUGAUAACGAAUCUCAUGUAUUGCUCAAGGUUAUUUGGGUUUUCUCUAUGUUUAUAUUUACUUGCAAAUGGAAACUAUAUACACCCAUUAAAGAAAAAUCUUACAUUAUUUAUAGACUAAACUAUGGCACGUACUAAACAUGCAACUAUUUCCUCCUUAUUCUCCAUAAUACUAGGUCAAGUACAAGUCUCGACAACAUCCACUUUCUAUGUACUUAGUCCAACAUGGACUAUUUAACUGUGAUCCACACCACAAUUACUGGCUCAUGGAUUACCCACUAAUCUACAACUCAUCUGUGACCCAUAACCCAUCAAGAUUACCUAACAUUCACCUUGUAAUCUUGACCUGAGCGUCUUCGUCAUAGCAAAAUCAGUUUCUUCUUGCUUUCAUAUACCCAACCAUCAUUCUUUGAAACAUCUAUUUUCUGCUCUCUGGUUUGCUACUCUUUAUGCCCUUUUGACCACCUGAACUACGGUUACGGAAGUCAAGUCUCUACCACGUUCAGAAUUAGAUCCUACAUUCCCAUAUCAUGCACCAUUUACUUACCUUCUGCCACCACCAUCAUUCUGAAUUUGAAUCGGGGAUGAAGAACACCAAAAUUCAUUCCAAACAACCUUCUUCUACUUCGAGUUCUAAAAGAAAAAACAACUCGUUUCUUAAUCUCAUUGUUGCCUCUUUCAAUCUUCUUUCUUCUUGCUACCCUCUUUCUUGCUAUAUCGUUCUUGAUUCUUUCAUUUUGUUUCGUGUUUACUACUUGCUACAAACCCAAAACUUUCCAUGUGCUAUGAUUGUCUUGUCUGCUACUUGCUACAGAAUAUGCAACAACCUUCUUGCUUGUUACUUGCUACUUUUCAUACAGAAAAAUUCUGUUGCUUCUUUCUUUUGAUCACCAAACCUGAUCGGACUUGCUGCUUGCUUUCAUUGUUUCUUCUAAUCACCAAAUUAAUGUGAUCAGCCUUGUUGCUUGCUUUCAUUCUUGCUGCUUACUUUCUUCCUCUUAACCUGCUUGCUUGUUUUUUUCCUCAACAACUGCCCGCUAUCAUCUCCAGGAUCGAACCACCACAGUCAGACCUUCAUUUGUCAACACCACUAUGAGCCAUCAACUCCACAACAGAGUCGUAACAGACCACAACCAAGAACCACCCUAUUUUAAUCCUCCUUGUUGUGUUUCUUUCUUUUUGAAGUAAACAUCUGGUUUUCACAAAUUUCUUUCUUCGUUCUUUCUUUCUUCUUUCAUUCUUUCUUUUUUUUUUUUUUUUCUAAUUUGUUGUUGUGUAGUGGUCUUUAUUCCUUUCUACUCUAAAGUAGGUAUGAGCCUAGUGCUCUGAUACCAAAUGCUAGAAAUCAUCCCCUUUCCUACCCGAUAAAGACACCAAAACUUACACAUGAUAACGAUUCUUCUGUAUUUCUCAAGGUUAUUUGGGUUUUCUCUGUGUUUAUAUUUACUUGCAAAUUGUAACGGACCAAAAAUAAUGACAAAAAGUUUAUGUUUUUAGAUCUGAUUUCCUUGAGCUGGAAACCACGUAACGUUGCCAACUUUAUGUUUAUGCAUGUGUAAAUGAAGCUAUUAAGCUUAAAAGGGACUUAAUAAUAUUCUUAAUGCAUGCAUGACUCCAAAAAUAUCAUAAAGCUUGCACCUUUAUGCUCAAGUGGCCCAAAAACAAACUCAGAUCUGGAAUAACAAGUCCUUAAACAAUUUCACCCUCUUCUUAACCUAAAAAGGGACCUAGAGAACAACAAAGCACAAAAUGAAGAGAUCUAAACAUCUAUAAGUCAAGGUUCAAACUUGAUACCUUAGAAUGCUUGCACAAAAGAAGAUGAUUCUGGAUCCAAAGCCAAUCCACCAAGCAAGACAACUUCAAUAUCUCCUCUACGUUCACAAAGGCCAAAAAUGAGCACCAAGAACUUCUUACUAGCUCAAGAACACCACCAAGAGACUUAGGGAUCGAUUUUAGGGUUUUAAUGUCAAUGGAUGCUUGUAAGGAGACCAUCCUUUGGGGCUAAAAGAGAUUAUUGUUGGAUUAGGUGUCUAAAUUCAUAACUAUUUCUGGAAUGUACUUGACCCGAUUAGCAUGGUCCAUUUGGGUUGCAUGACAUUGCAACACUUGGAUAGACUAAAUGAGAGAAAUGACACUUAAGUUUUAGUAAUAUAUUAUAUGUUCUAAUAUAUUAAUAAUAUUAUUUAAUUAGUAUUGAUCAAGAAUUAAUUUAGAAUUAAUUUGGUGAUCAAAAGGAGACUAAUUAAAUAUAUGGGGUUGAUUGUGUAAAUCAUCCAUUCUUUUAUAGUGGGCUAAUGAUACAUGGUUUAUUGAAUUGGGCUAAAACCCAUAAGGUGAUCCAUGGAUAGUCCAUGGAGGUUAUAAACACAUGGAUCAUGGAAUAUGAAAAGCCAUGUCAAUUAGGGUUUACAUGAUGUAACCCUACUUGUGACACAACUAUAAAAGGACCACAUGGGCUACCAAAAUCGGACUAUGUGUAGAACAAGAGGACUAGCCGAUUUUGAGUGAUAGUGUACUUCUCUCAUGGUUAUUCCAAGACUUGUGGUGUUGUGUGAAACAUUUGAGGCAUCACACUUGAGGUGCUAGGCUCACAAGGUUCUCAAGGAAUCCAAGCAACAAGAAAUGUAUGUUCUCCUACUAGCUUUUAUGUUUCAAAGUUCCCCAUGCCAUGCUAGUUAGGUUAAGAACCUUGGAAAAACAAUUUUGCAUGUAUCUUAGUAAAACAUAGAUCCAAGGUUUCUAGGGUUGCAUGUACACCUUAGGAGUGUUAGAAUGCUCAAAACCCUUCUGUGGUAUCAGAGUCUAGGCUUGUUUUCUUGAUACUUGAUGCAAAUUGUUGAAAACACUCAAGAUUUCUGCAUUCUGCUGAGUGAACUUGCCGAGUCCAUGGGGGGACUCGACGAGUCCAUGUGUUAUUUCAUCCUACUCGUCGAGUAGGUUCUUGCACUCGACGAGUAGGAGGCCCUGAAUGCAUAUUUUCGAGUUUUGCUGCUGGAAAUGGACUAAAAACAUUACCCUAAAUUGUUUUGGUCUUAUAAAACUUGUUUUAGAUGGUGUAAUGGUUAUGCUAAUCCAUUUACAAUGGCUAUUAUCAAAAUUUCAAGUUUUACAUGUGCUUUUAUGAUUCUUCAAAUUGUUGAUAUGAAUGUUCAUGAACUUAUGAGUUUAGUAGAUCACAUGAAUUAUUUUGUUAGUUUAAUUCUUGAUCUUGAUGUGUUUUAAUGGAAUCCAUAAUUUGUCCUCAAGUUAUGGAUUACCAAAAGUUUUUUUUAAAGUCCAUUAAUGAACACAUAGGUUAUAUAAAAUGAAGAGUCUCUCAUUUUAAUAAACCAUUAACUCAUAAGUUAUGAAACAUGAAAACUUUUGAAAGAUACAAAACUUGCCCUCAAGUUUUGGAACAUAUAAAGUCACCUUAAAAACUUUAGUUCCAACCCCUAUAAUUUUAAAAGUUAAAAUUCAACCCUUAUACCUUAUAAUAUUAUAAGUUAAUUUUAUAUAAACCCUAAUUUUGAUCUAUUCAUUAAUUUAUUAUGAUGCUGAAUCAAAUAGAAACUAUCGCUCUGAUACCACUAAUAGGUUUUAUAGGCUAUAAGACAAAGCAUAAGGCGAAAUAAUUUAACCCUUAAGUUCGCAUACAACCUAUUUGGAUCUAAGUUUUCUCUAUUCAUAACAAUAAUCUAUGAACAUCAAGAACCCUAAGGAGGCCAUACUAUAAUCAAAAUUAUCAAGGGAUUAGGGUUUACAUACUUUUGAUUUUUUUUAGUCCUAAGAUUUUUUUCUUGAACAAAAAAUUCUUUAAAACCGGAAAAAAUUUGUAGUUUGACCAUUUUUGGCCGGUUGAAACCGGUACCAAAUUAAUUUGGGACUAUUUCGUAAACUAACCCAAAAUAUUUACACUUUUCUAUAACCCAAAAAUAUUAUGACUUUUCUGUAAACAAAAAUAUUAAAACUUUUCUACAAACAAAACCCUUAUUAUUAUUAUUAUUAUUAUUAUUAUUAUUAUUAUUAUUUAAAAUAUAAAUAAGAAUACUAUUUUUUGAACUUGUAUUAUUAAUAUUUGACAAAAUUGCAAAAAUGGUCCAUGUGGUAUGCAUUUUUUUGGGGUUUUAGUCCAAACCCCGACUUUUUUGGCUUUGUGGUCCUUUUGAGCUAGUUUUAUUGUGUUUUUAGUCCCUCUGAAUAGUGAAAUGACUGUAAUACCCUUGGAGUAUUUAUUUUUCAUUUUUCUUUCAUUUCUUCUUAAAUCAAAUACUAAUUUAUUUAUAUUAAUAAUUAAAAAAAUAAGAAGGGUCUCUCUCUCUCUCUCUCUCUCUCUCUCUCUCUCUGCACCUACACCUGAAAAAACCCAUCUAAGAAAUUAGAGCUUCAUUUCUUCAAUUAAAUCGUCUGUUUACAACAGCACAAAAAGAGUUCCCAAAGAGCUUCUUGCAAUUCCUCAUUUAUUGUCUUUAUAGCUGAACAAAAAAGAUUUUUCCUGGUGUUUCAAUUCUUCAAGUUGUUCGUUCUUCUGUAUCAAUUUGGUUGUAAAUGCUUCAUCUGUUCUUGAAGCUCAAUAAGGUCCAUUUAUGACAUUCUUACAAAUUAAACAUGGUCCUGUGUUUUUGGAAUUAAUCGCUGUUACACCCUCCAGUAACCUCCUAGAAGUGCAACUUUCCUUCAUAAAUUAUUUGUAGAAUGAUAAGCUUUCGUUAUCCUUUCGUUUACAGGAAACAAGUCCCUAGGAUUCCAUUUUCGGAAUUAGAACAGCUACAAGUCUCCAGGAUUUUCUCUUCUUAUAAUUGAUUUGGGGGUUUGGGAAUUUAUGAAUUUGGUAUUCCUGGAAUGAUUUUGUUGAAGGCAAAGAUAAGGAUGGAAUUGGUGAUUAUCUUUCUGAUAGAGCAUUCCUAGCUGUGUUUAGAUCCAAUUUUCUCUUUAAAACUGGGAUUUUGUUAGAGAGAUUGUUGUUGGCGAGGUCUAAUUUUUUAAGAUCAGGAAGAGCGGUGAUGAGCUCUUCAGGAAACGUUCUAAUGAGACUGUUGUUAGCUUUGAUGAAUGGCGACAGUCCAGCUUUGGUGGGUGUCUGAUUAUGGUGGACGACGACGAUCCAUAAGUGAAGUUUGCAGAUUAAGGUUUGUUUUGGAGAGCUUGUCAGACAUGAAUUUGGAGAUUGGGGAAGUUUGAAAGAGUUAAGAUUGAGGAUGAAUGAGUUCAUCUGAAGCCUCCAAAUGAUCCUAAUAGAUCUGUGUGUGAAGAGAGAGAGAGAGAGAGAAUGGGGUGUGGGCCCCAUUUUAUUAUCAAUAAAACAUUAACAUAAAUAGAAAAAAUAUAUGAAGAGGGCGAUUUAGUCAUUUCAAUUUUCGGAGGGACCAUUUUCACAUACAAACUAGUCCAAAAUGACCACUAAUCCAAAAAAUUCGGGGUUUGGACUAAAACCCUAAAAAAUGCAUACCACAGGGACCAUUUUUACAAUUUUGUCUUAAUAUUUUAAUAAAACAUAUAAAUGCAUUUAAAUGAAAAAAUAAUGACAUUGUUUAAGGGUGGAGGUGGAGGACAUGGUGAUGCUUUUAGCAUUGAAAUCAUAUGAAUUUAUGCAUUUAUAUUUUUACUUGUAUAUACUUAUUUCACAUUUGUUAUUAUUGUUUUUCAAUUCAUAAUAUUAGUACUUAACAAUUUAACAGAAAUUGCAUAUUUGUAAAAUUGUUAACAAAUAAUUUAAGGUAGAAGGAUUUCUCAGUUUGUGUAUAAAAUUAUUUAAGGUAGAAUAAUUACUUUCCAAAUCCAACAUAUCUACUACAAACAUCUACGUAGAUAGUAGCCCAUAUCAAAAUUCAAAAGUAUUAAUUACAAUAUCUUGGUUGAUCAAAAGUAAUAGGAAUAAUUCAAAAGUAUUAAUCAAAAUUCAAAAGAAUUAAUCCAAAAAACAUGUCCUAUACUUUUUAUUAAACAAGAUAUUGUAAUUAAUACUUUUGAAUUUUGAUAUAGACUACCUAUCUAUAUAGAUGUUUGUAGUGGAUCUGUUGGAUUUGGAAAAUAAUCAUUCUACCUUAAACAAUUUUAUAUACAAACAGAGAAAUCAUUUUACCUUAAAUUAUUUAUAAACGAUUUUACAAUUAUGCAAUUUCUUUUAAAUAUGUAAGUAUUAAUAUUCUGAAUUGUAAACAAUAAUAAAAAAAUAUGAAAUGAUCAUAUACAAAGUAAAAACAUACAAACAGAAAUUCAUAUGAUUUCAAUGUUAAAAAUAUCACCAUCUCUUCCACCUCCACCUUUAAACAAUGUCAUUAUUUUUUCAUUUAAAUGCAUUUAUAUGUUUUAUUAAACUAUUAAUAAUACAAGUUCAAUAAAUAGUAUUCUUAUAAUAAUAAUAAUAAUAAUAAGAGUUUAAUUUGUUUACAAAAAAGUCAUAAUAUUUUUGUUUAUAGAAAAGUCAUAAUAUUUUUGUUUAUAGAAAAGUCAUAAUAUUUUUGGGUUACAAAAAAGUCUCAAUAUUUUGGGGUUAGUUUACGAAAUAGUCACAAAUUAAUUUGGUUUCGGUUUCAACAGGUAAAAAAGGAUCAAAUUGUAAAUUUUUGUCCGUUUUCAGGAUUUUUUCGUUUAAUAAACAAAUCUUUGGAUUAAAGUGUAACUUUUCCGUAAAUAUUAGAAUUUUUCAAAUCAUUUCCCAUAGAAAAUCUACUAUAAUAAAUGAAGGUUUUUUGUCACAUGUCCUCUUCUCAUUCAUUUGGAUACAUGGCAUUUUCUAGAAUUUUUAAAAUUUUUAUUUUCCAAUUGUCAUUUUAUUGUAUUUUUUAUUUUAUUAAAUUAAAAUUCCACAUUUAAUGUCUAAGGUAAUAUAUAUGUAAAGUAUUUAUUAGAAAAAGUUUAUAUAUGUAAUGUAUUGAAUACAUUAAAGUCUCAUUAAUUUUAAUAAUUCAAAUUUUUCUAAUUUUUCUUAUAAAUGUAAACUUUUCAAAUUAUUAAAAUUUUAUAUUUUUUUUUAAUUAAACCUAUGUAAUACAUGGGUCUUACAGCUAGUCUACAUUAAAAAAAAAAGUUUGGAGCGGUUAAGAGGAAUCACGGGUUCCUCAAAUCGUGUAGAAUGCCAAAUCCCCAACCACGGAACAAAGCUCCCAACGGUAGGGAUUUGAACACAAAGAUAAAAUAUAAACCGAGACAAAUUCAAAAUAAUAUGUAUUCAUUCUAUUGUUAAUAUAAAAAUUAGAUACAUCAAAUAUUCAAAAAAAAAAAUUGAGACAAAAUGAUUGGAACUUCCUUUUCGUGACGGAUUCAAUUUUAGUUACCUCAUCUCGUCAAUGAAGUAGAAACCAUUAUGUCAGUUAUUUUCAACCAAUCAAAUUGUACUACGUUAUAAAUAUUUACCUACCUCUAUAUAUAAUUCUUCACUGGUCACGUGAUCAAUUAUUGGUUCUACCUCUUGUCUUUCUUCUCGACAAAUAUUGGACGACGUUGGGUAAAGGUGUUCGUAUCAUUAAGUCAUCAAAUUCUAGGCCUAGCUAAUUUACGUCCACAGAUUGAUAUAUAUACUUUGACCUAUAGAGUAUUAGAGUUAUAAAAUUUGGUAUCAUUCAGUCCGAGGAAAACUGUGUCAAUACUAUGAGGGAGUCCGAAAGUGCUUAAGAUUCUAUCAUUCUCUAUUCUAUGGAUUUAAUAGAGGUAAAGGGUGUGUUUGUUUUAAAACCAACUUUUCAGAAAGGAAAAGGGACAAAAUCUUUUUGGAACCAACUUUUGAGAAAGAAAAAAAAAAAAGGAGCAUUUGGAAAAGUCAUUGACUUUUUGGAACUUUUGAAGCCCUUGACACUUAAAUUACUCAUAUACCCCCAACUACCACUACUCUAAUCAAUAAACUCUUAGAACUUUUAUUAUUUUACAUGUAAAAGUUAAACAAAACAUCUUUUAAAAACAACUUUUGACUUUUGUUUCUCAAAAGCUGAUCGAAACACAUUUUUAAAAACAUCUUUUGUAAAAAGUAUUUUUACAAAAAGUGCUUUUGCAAAAAGGACUUUUAAAGGUAAAAAGAUAUCUCAAACACCCCCAAUUCUAUCAAAAAAUAUUUAAUUGUUAAAUUUAUUAUCAUAAGUUUGUAAUCAGUUUAAUUUUAACCUGAAUAAUUAAAAUUGUUUAAUAUAUAUAUUAUACAUAUAUUAAAUGAAAGAAUAAUCCAAUAGACGAUAACUCAAAUGUUGAAGUAUUCAUGUGUGGAUGGCUCAUAUUGUCUUUAUAGUUUACAUUGUAGAAAGUUUAAUUUAUUAUAGUUGGUAGAACCACGUUGAAAAAAAUGAUUCUUUUAUUAAACUGCUGUAACUAUUAUAAAUUUAAUUAGAAAAUGUAGAUAUUUCAUCUAUAUAAAGGAUCAGAGGGUGUCUCAAAUUCAUAACUCAGAUCCCACUUCUGUUAGUAGAAAUGGGAACAAAAAGGAAGAUGUCUUCAAUGGUCACCCUUUUAAUCUCGCUUGCGGUAGUUAUUGUUUCUUUAAGCUUGCCUUCAUCGGCCACGGCAGCCUACCCUUACUCAUCUCCACCACCUCCUCCACCAAAAAAAUCACCACCACCACCACCACCUAAGCAUCAUUAUGUUUACAAGUCACCACCACCACCGGUGUAUAAGUCACCACCACCACCCAUGCAUAAGUCACCACCACCACCCGUAUAUAAGUCACCACCACCUCCUACUCCUGUUUAUAAGUCUCCACCACCUCCAAAGAAACCAUAUGUAUACAAGUCACCUCCACCACCCGUGCCCGUUCACAAGUCUCCACCACCGCCAGUAUAUAAGUCCCCACCACCACCGAUGCACAAAUCACCACCACCACCUGUUUACAAGUCACCACCACCACCGGUUCACAAAUCACCACCACCGCCUGUUUACAAGUCACCACCUCCACCUCAUUAUGUUUACAAGUCACCACCACCACCAGUUCACAAGUCAUCACCUCCACCUACACCCAUUUACAAGUCACCACCACCACCUCCGGUUCACAAGUCUCCACCACCACCAAAGAAACAUUACAUAUAUAAGUCACCACCGCCACCUCCACCAGUUUACAAGUCUCCUCCUCCUCCACCACCAAAGAAACCAUAUGUAUACAAGUCACCACCACCACCAACUCCGGUCUAUAAAUCUCCACCACCACCAACACCGGUUUACAAAUCUCCACCACCACCACCACCUGUGUACAAAUCCCCACCACCACCACCACCGGUUUACAAGUCUCCGCCACCUCCUCCACCCCCAGUGAAAAAGUACCCACCCC
RNAcentral lists this long non-coding RNA (18954 nucleotides) under Lactuca sativa (garden lettuce). Its description in RNAcentral is "long non-coding RNA (LSAT_LNC006815)". The record is from RNAcentral. Lineage: Eukaryota; Viridiplantae; Streptophyta; Magnoliopsida; Asterales; Asteraceae.